GCCCCCUCGCCCGGUCCUCCAUGCUCCGAAGGCACGAUUCCCCGCGGCGCAGCGCGGGUUUUGCAAAAGGGUCCAUUCGCAGGCCAUCCACACAGAAGGCCGGAGCCCCAAGUCAAAGCUGCCUCCCCAAAGCUGGGGCUAGGGCCAUGGACGGGAUAAAGACACAGGGUGGCCUGGGGCGCCGAGCCGCCUGGAGGAAGGAAAGGUGAGGUAGAGGGUGGUCUCUGUUUGUAAUCGGGCUUCAUGGCUCGCCUGGGGAUGUGGCUCGGCCUAAGAACACUUCCUAGCUGAGGGCCCCAGGCCCCGAGAUGCAUCCCCAGCACCACAAUAAGACACUGGAAAAUAAACCCACGUCAUGGCUCCUCCGAGGAAGCCUGUUCAGACAGUGGUGGGAUUAGUAUGCUCCACUGGAGCGGAGGUGUGGCCUUCUGAUGUCAAAAGGUGGAGGUCAUAUACCUGCACAGACCCACAGGAAGGAGCAGUGGUUCCAACAAGUUUAAACUACCUCUAAGUUCCUGAAAACCACCUAGGCCACCUCUGCCGUGGUGAGCGGCCAACAGGGGGAGUUGCGGUGUUCCACAAAGCAAGCUGCAAAGUCUCCCAGAAGCUGAGGUCCCAGUGAGCAGUGUCCAGAGUUUUCCUGCCUCAGCCUCCCAAGUCACUGAGAUUACAGGCAUGCACCACCACGCCUGGCUGGAAGGGUAUAUCUUGUCCCUGGCCCUGUCUGCUCUCUGCUGCCAUGAGAUAAGCAGCUUUCCUCUGCCAUGCCCUUCCACCAUGAUGUUUCUGCUUUGGAGCCAUCCAAACAUGCAAUGAAGCCUCUGAGAACAAGCCAAAAUAAAUCUUUCCUCCACAAA
Molecule: long non-coding RNA, 857 nt
Organism: Marmota flaviventris (yellow-bellied marmot)
Lineage: Eukaryota; Metazoa; Chordata; Mammalia; Rodentia; Sciuridae
Source: RefSeq, a predicted model, not a curated record